This 246-nucleotide long non-coding RNA is filed under the name Elaeis guineensis (African oil palm). RNAcentral's name for it is "long non-coding RNA (EGUI_LNC067799)". The record is from RNAcentral. Lineage: Eukaryota; Viridiplantae; Streptophyta; Magnoliopsida; Arecales; Arecaceae.
CCGGGCUUGUUUCUCUCUCUCCAGGGCCUCUUGGAGGGUGGCUACUUCAGCCACCUUUUCUUCGAGGUGAGCGACCUCGGCCCGACAACGCUCCUCCACCUGGGCGAUGUCCCUCCUCGCACGGUUCGUUGCCUCGAUAUUGGCGAGAAGCUGGUGCCCAAUCUGCAGGGGCGGCUAGGGGAUCAGAAUAAGGGCCGAAUAACUGGAUAAAUGAAGGUUUGUUUAUCUCGAGGAAGGACCCUAGGG